GUUCCCGUAGUUGAAUUACAACGGUGGUUUUUCAAGUCACUGGUUUCGGUUAGAGUCCGGGCGGGAAUU
This 69-nucleotide transfer RNA is filed under the name Alepocephalus tenebrosus (California slickhead). RNAcentral describes it as "tRNA-Glu". It matches the Rfam family "tRNA". From Rfam's summary of the family: Transfer RNA (tRNA) molecules are approximately 80 nucleotides in length. Their secondary structure includes four short double-helical elements and three loops (D, anti-codon, and T loops). Lineage: Eukaryota; Metazoa; Chordata; Actinopteri; Alepocephaliformes; Alepocephalidae. The record is from RNAcentral. RNAcentral also lists the same sequence under 1 other name.